Molecule: ribosomal RNA, 673 nt
Filed under: bacterium SL1.2
Lineage: Bacteria
Description: bacterial SSU rRNA
Rfam family: Bacterial small subunit ribosomal RNA
Source: RNAcentral
UGCAGUCGAGCGAGACCUUCGGGUCUAGCGGCGGACGGGUUAGUAACGCGUGGGAAUAUACCCUUCACUACGGAAUAGCCUCGGGAAACUGGGAGUAAUACCGUAUACGCCCUUUUGGGGAAAGAUUUAUCGGUGAAGGAUUAGCCCGCGUCUGAUUAGAUAGUUGGUGGGGUAAUGGCCUACCAAGUCUACGAUCAGUAGCUGGUUUGAGAGGAUGAUCAGCAACACUGGGACUGAGACACGGCCCAGACUCCUACGGGAGGCAGCAGUGGGGAAUCUUAGACAAUGGGCGCAAGCCUGAUCUAGCCAUGCCGCGUGAGUGACGAAGGCCUUAGGGUCGUAAAGCUCUUUCGCCAGAGAUGAUAAUGACAGUAUCUGGUAAAGAAACCCCGGCUAACUCCGUGCCAGCAGCCGCGGUAAUACGGAGGGGGUUAGCGUUGUUCGGAAUUACUGGGCGUAAAGCGCACGUAGGCGGAUUGGAAAGUAUGGGGUGAAAUCCCAGGGCUCAACCCUGGAACUGCCUUGUAAACUCCCAGUCUAGAGUUCGAGAGAGGUGAGUGGAAUUCCAAGUGUAGAGGUGAAAUUCGUAGAUAUUUGGAGGAACACCAGUGGCGAAGGCGGCUCACUGGCUCGAUACUGACGCUGAGGUGCGAAAGUGUGGGGAGCAAACAGG